Molecule: ribosomal RNA, 354 nt
Filed under: uncultured bacterium
Lineage: Bacteria
Description: bacterial SSU rRNA
Rfam family: Bacterial small subunit ribosomal RNA
Source: RNAcentral
GUAUGGUGCAAGCGUUAUCCGGAUUUACUGGGUGUAAAGGGAGCGCAGGCGGAAGGCUAAGUCUGAUGUGAAAGCCCGGGGCUCAACCCCGGUACUGCAUUGGAAACUGUCGUACUAGAGUGUCGGAGGGGUAAGCGGAAUUCCUAGUGUAGCGGUGAAAUGCGUAGAUAUUAGGAGGAACACCAGUGGCGAAGGCGGCUUACUGGACGGUAACUGACGUUGAGGCUCGAAAGCGUGGGGAGCAAACAGGAUUAGAUACCCUGGUAGUCCCAGCCGUAAACGAUGGACGCUAGGUGUGGGGGAGGAAUCUCCUCCGUGCCGAAGCCAACGCAUUAAGCGUCCCGCCUGGGGAGU